This is a long non-coding RNA of Orcinus orca (killer whale), 140 nucleotides long. RefSeq lists it as uncharacterized. The transcript has 3 exons. The record is from RefSeq and is a predicted model, not a curated record. Lineage: Eukaryota; Metazoa; Chordata; Mammalia; Artiodactyla; Delphinidae.
AAGAGGACUGCGGGACAGGACCCACCAGGGAAGAUGAGAUGCAAAUACACGUGACACAACUACCAGAGUGGCAUGGUGUCUCCUCCCUGGGACAAAAGCACACUCUUUGUUUCCCAGUACAGUGCCUGGAGCACUCAGUA